RNAcentral lists this ribosomal RNA (497 nucleotides) under uncultured bacterium. Its description in RNAcentral is "partial 16S ribosomal RNA". It matches the Rfam family "Bacterial small subunit ribosomal RNA", at positions 28 to 507 of the family's 1533-position model. The record is from RNAcentral.
GAUGAACGCUGGCGGCGUGCCUAAUACAUGCAAGUCGAGCGAACAGACGAGGAGCUUGCUCCUCUGACGUUAGCGGCGGACGGGUGAGUAACACGUGGAUAACCUACCUAUAAGACUGGGAUAACUUCGGGAAACCGGAGCUAAUACCGGAUAAUAUAUUGAACCGCAUGGUUCAAUAGUGAAAGACGGUUUUGCUGUCACUUAUAGAUGGAUCCGCGCCGCAUUAGCUGGUUGGUAAGGUAACGGCUUACCAAGGCAACGAUGCGUAGCCGACCGGAGAGGGUGAUAGGCGGCACGGGAGCUGGGACACGGUCCAGGCUCCUACGGGAGGCAGCAGUAGGGAAUCUUCCGCAGUGGGCGAGAGCCUGACGGAGCAACGCCGCGUGAGUGAUGAAGGUCUUCGGAUCGUAAAACUCUGUUAUUAGGGAAGAACAAAUGUGUAAGUAACUGUGCACGUCUUGACGGUACCUAAUCAGAAAGCCACGGCUAACUACGUG